CCUGAGAUGUACAAAUAAUCGAUCCUCUUUUCUGGUUAAAAACCCUAAAACCAACACCAGCUCCUAAGCAUAUACACACACUUCUCUCUGUCCCUCGAUCUCUCUCGAUCUUAAGAGUGAUGGAUGCUCAACGAGCUUUGCUGGAUGAACUCAUGGGUGCUGCUCGCAAUUUAACUGAAGAAGAGAGAAAGGGUUACAAGGAAACCACUUGGGAUGACAAGGAAGUGUGUGGCUUUUAUAUGGUUCGCUUUUGUCCUCACGAUCUGUUUGUGAACACAAGGAGCGAUCUAGGACCAUGCCCAAAAAUUCAUGACCCGAAAUUGAAAGAGAGUUUUGAGGGUUCCCCGAGACAUGAUUCGUACGUGCCAAAGUUUGAAGCAGACCUGGCCCAUUUCUGUGAGAAAUUGGUAAUGGACUUGGACAGAAGAGUAAGGCGUGGGAGAGAACGUCUUGAUCAAGAUGUUGAAGUUCCCGCUCCCCCUCCAGUUCCAGCAGAGAAAUCUGAGCAGUUAUCAGUGUUGGAGGAAAAGAUAAAGAAUCUUUUAGAACAAGUGGAGGCCCUUGGUGAAGCAGGCAAGGUAGAUGAAGCUGAAGCACUAAUGAGAAAGGUGGAUGUGCUUAAUGCAGAGAAGACGUUCUUGACGCAGCAGCCCCAGAAUGACAAACUCUUAAUGCUUGCUCAGGAAAAAAAGAUGGCUCUAUGUGAAACUUGUGGUUCUUUCUUAGUAGCAAAUGAUGUAAUUGAGAGAACUCAAUCUCACGUCACUGGCAAGCAGCAUAUCGGUUAUGGCAUGGUCCGUGAUUUCCUAGCCGAGUUUAAGGAAGCUAAGGAAAAAGCAAGAGAAGAGGAAAGGUUAGCAAGGGAGAAGGAAGCAGAAGAAAGAAGAAAGCAGAGGGAAAAGGAAGUUGAGAGUAGACGUAGAAGAAGUGGGUCAGAUGACAGAGACAGAGACCGUGGUCGUGAUAGAGACAGAGAGCGGGAUAGGUAUCGAGACCAAGAUCGUGAAAGGUCUCGUGAGAGGAAUGGUAGAGGAAGUCGUGAAGGGGGGAGAGGGUUAGAUUGGAAGUACAACAGUACCAGGAAUGGAAGUAGAGAUAGAUACCGAGAGCGUAACAGGAGCAGAUCACGUUCCCCUAGCAGGCGUAGUCACAGAAGGUCACCUUGAAAUCCCGUCCAAUUAUAUUACUGAAUACUGUUGCUUAAUGUCUGAAAGUUGAAGUCAGAAGAGCUUUGUUGAGACUAAUCUCCUAUCAUCAAUUUAUUACUAAAGGAGAAAGUGAUGAGUUAAAAAGAUGGACUUGGUUAGUGUGCAACUGUGCAUGUGUAGACCAGCUGCUGAAAAGGAUCACCAUUUUCUCAACUGUGAGGGAGCUGAUGUCAUCUGCCUAGCUUGAAAGUGCCACUCGUGAUUGUGUUAUGCCUGGAAAUUCCUGCCCUUGGUGCAGAGGGUCAGAUAAAAAAACAAAGUGAUGUGUGCUGGACUAUUUACUAAAUGAUAGAGACAAAUGAAAGUAUAUAUGUACAUAACUUCUGGAGGAUAGCAUGUGUACAUUGGCUUUCAACAUUUUACCCC
This is an RNA transcript of Daucus carota subsp. sativus, 1574 nucleotides long. RefSeq lists it as uncharacterized. Lineage: Eukaryota; Viridiplantae; Streptophyta; Magnoliopsida; Apiales; Apiaceae. The transcript is spliced from 10 exons. The record is from RefSeq and is a predicted model, not a curated record.